CCGCGGCUCGCUCGCGCCCCGGAAACUGCCCCUUCUCGGGGGUCAUGAUGGGCAGCAAGAUGGCGUCUGCUAGUAGGGUCGUUCAGUAUCAGAAGCUUUGAGAUCAGCAGGGCUACCAUCUCACUCUUCUGUAAUUUCACAACAUUCUAAAGGAAGUAAAUCACCAGAUUUGCUGAUGUAUCAGGGUCCACCGGACACUGCAGAAAUAAUAAAAACAUUACCUCAGAAAUACAGAAGGAAACUUGUGUCUCAAGAAGAAAUGGAAUUUAUCCAACGUGGAGGUCCUGAAUAACCAUGG
Molecule: unclassified non-coding RNA, 298 nt
Filed under: Homo sapiens (human)
Lineage: Eukaryota; Metazoa; Chordata; Mammalia; Primates; Hominidae
Description: alpha-ketoglutarate dehydrogenase subunit 4 (ENSG00000278461.4)
Source: RNAcentral